GGGUCCGGGAGGGACAUGGAGCUAGUGGCAGGCAAGUCACUGGCUUGAAGAGGGUUCUCUGUAUGCUGGAAAAGAGCUAAUUCCCAGAUGACCAGCAGGAGGCACUGCACUGGUAACUUGUAGAACCUUAACCUGCUUCUGAACAUUGAGACAAGACUUUGUUUUCUGUACUUGAGUAUCACUGGGAAACCAGCUGUAACAAAAGGACAGAGGCGAAGCUUCCAGGAUCACGAACACCAGAGUUGCUCAAGAGGCAUGCUGCCGACAGGGCAGCAGGGCUAUUCUAGAACGUUAAGCAGGAUGAGAAACACGAAAGGACUCCUGCAUUGUUAAGAAGUUGACUGAGGCCUUAUCAAAAGAAGUGGAACAUGUUCCUUUGAGGUGUUUGACAAAACAUCCCUUUCCCCAGAUGCUAUAAUGAAGAUCUUCUGAGGAUAAGAGCAUCUAAACUGCUGUAACCCAUCUGCUGAAUGUCCAGAAGAAAGGAGCAUAGCAAGAAAAGCAACUAACAGGAGGAUGUAAGAAGGGCGUGAGGCCAUAUUCUGCAGGCUUCUCCAUGUUAUUUACAUACCAACUUACUGAAAAAUAAAGAAGCUUAUCAGUCUACAACAGUCUUACUAAGCACAACAGCGUCUGACACCCUCUUACCCUUUUGCUUUUGAAUUUGUAACUGAAUGACU
Dermochelys coriacea (leatherback sea turtle) is the source of this 680-nucleotide long non-coding RNA. RefSeq lists it as uncharacterized. The transcript is spliced from 4 exons. The record is from RefSeq and is a predicted model, not a curated record. NCBI's taxonomy places the organism in Eukaryota, Metazoa, Chordata, Testudines, Dermochelyidae.